This 375-nucleotide ribosomal RNA is filed under the name Pelobates cultripes (western spadefoot toad). RNAcentral describes it as "SSU_rRNA_microsporidia". It matches the Rfam family "Eukaryotic small subunit ribosomal RNA", at positions 108 to 472 of the family's 1831-position model. The record is from RNAcentral. Lineage: Eukaryota; Metazoa; Chordata; Amphibia; Anura; Pelobatidae.
UGCUGAUCACUGCCUGUACAUAUAUAUAUAUAUAUAUAUAUAUAUAUAUAUUAAUUUGGGUAACCCUCAAAAUAUUGGGACAUAUAAAAAAAGACCACUCUGUUCCGCAGAGUAGCUGUUGACAUUAUAGUUGUGCAGGAACUUUGUUGAUUGUAGAGAACCUCGGGCAAAUUGCACAUCCCCGUGGCGGCGACUUUGCAUGCGGAUGUCAUCCAUAUCAACUUUCGAUGCCAGUUUUUGUGCCUACCAUGGUGACCACGGGUAAUGGGGAAUCAGGGUUCCAUUCCGAAAAGGAACCCUGAGAAACGGCUACCACAUGCAAGGAAGGCAGCAGGCGCACAAAUGACCCACUCCUGACGCGGGAAGGUAGUGACG